CUUCAGAAGGAUGUUCUUCCCAAAAUGUGGCCAUAUCAGCUUACAGCUUUGAGGGAAAGAGUCAAAGAAAACACAGAGCAGGAUGAAACUUAUCGCUGACAACUACGAGGAUGACCAUUACCACCCUCACGCUCCACCUCCCCACAUGCAACCUCAACCCCUUCAUCCUCAACCCCAGCCCCAGCCGUCAUACCCACAGCCCCAACACCCCCACCAGCCUCCUUACCCACACGCGCCCCAUCCCCAACACCCACAGCCUCCACCCCACCACCCGCAGCAGCCGCCCCAGCCUCAAUACCCCCACCCACAACACCCACAACACCCCCAGCACCCGCAACCGCCCGGCCCACACCAGCACCCACCUAGACCUCAGCCACCCCACCCUCAACACCCUCAUCCCGGGGUCCAUCCGCAGCAGCACCCCCACGGCCCUCCGCCUCAGCAGGGCCCCCAUCAUCAGCCCAUGCCACACCCGCAGCAGCACCCCCAUCACCCCCCGCACCCUGGCCCACAGGGCCCACACCCUCGACACCCUCCACCACACCAUCGGGGUCCAGGCCGUGGACCGCCGCAUCCCGGACACCGACCCACUCCAGACCAGGAUGAUGAAGAAGGAAUUUGGGCAUAACUAUUUCCAAACCAAAGCUAUGAUGUUGUUUUGUGGGGCAAUUCAGUCACUAAAGGAGGAGCACAGCCAUGCCAUACAGAUGAAAUUCUACAUUGUUCACUUGGCCAGUCUUUACCUACAAUCAGAUUCAUUCUUUUGGAUGGGGCCCCAUUUUUUUCCAUGCAUUAAGGAAAGAGGCGGAGCAUUAGUUUGAGUGGGAGGGCCAAAGCUGGAGAUGACCACCUGAGCAGAUGAUUAAAAAAAAAUGGAGAGGAAGUCUUGACUGAUCAGAAACACAGUUACUUCCUGGUGCAGUCCUUUUUCUAAAGACAUUUGCCUUGAAGACUCUCCAUGCUCAGUCAACACUAGAUGAGACACUGCAGCUGCUCCUAGUUGCCUGGUUUUCACUUGAGACCGGUGCAUCCAGCUGGACCCGCCCCUUCUCAUCACUGCCUCGCCCACUCUCAUCUAGCUCCACCUCUUCAAUGAAGCAACAUGUCAGCCUGCACCCAUUCAAGCCUUGAUUCUGUCAUUUCUCUGCUUUUUUAUGUAAUCCAUUGUAAAAUAAUACCAUCCUAAUUUCAUUUUGAACCAUUUUUUACGAUCACGUCUGCAUUCGCAAGUCUGCCAACUGUUGCCUGCCUUCAAUUCUUUAGGUUUUAUUAUAUGUGCUACUGUAUACAUUUAUGUACUUAGGUUUGAGUAUGCACUAUGAUAAGCAUUUAAGUCACCAUUUUUGGUUUUUAGUGUAUAUUGGACCUUAGGGAGUUAGUAUACCUCAGAGGUAGUCUACUCUAUGUAGAGUUAAUUUCGUCUCACCGAUUAUAACGCACAUAACAUACACCAUGCUAACCAGAAUUGGCCCUUUAUUUUUUGCUUGUGCUCCACUCAAAACACCAAGCCUGGUCUGCAUGUAAGCUCUCAUGCACCUAUGCACCUCCACCCCUUACAACAGGGAACAUUUCUAAUGGUGCUUCAACUGGUGCUCAGGCCCAAAAGAGAUGGAGACAGCCAUGGCUAAACUAUUUCGGACAUCAGCUGAUCUAUAACACUCCAUGAAUCCAUGGCGGCAAGUUUUUCGGAAUAUAACUGAGAUGUUUUCCCAAUCUACUGCUGCAGGUCGUAGCAUUGAUGAAUUCAUCAAGAUGUCUGUUGACAAGGCCAGUCCAACCUGCGUGUCCCAUAAAGGGAAUGUCCUUCUCCUUUAACGAACCGCCCCACCAGGUACCGGCGGAGCUACCGCCAAAUUCUUGUAACGUCUCAACAUGGUGGCGAGUGCCUAUUUAUAAAUAGAUAGUAGAUAUAUAGAUAAAUACUAGCUAAAUAAAGUGUCUACUGUGGUCAGACUAUUGUGUCAGAAAUCAAGGGAAACCUUUUUUUCAGUGUGUUUGAGUCGUGUGUGUUAUCAUUGUCUGUUUGGCCCUCACAGUGCUCCAAUUACAAGAUAUUUGCACUGGGGUCUAUGCAAAACAAAAAAGAACACAAAAGGUCUUUUGCAGAAUCAAGAAACUAGAUCUUCAGCUAGAAAAAGAAUUGUAUAGAAUAUGUUGCACCUCACAAAAAAACUAAAAAUCAAACGACAAUGAGAUCUGAACAAAAAAAAAUUAUGUUGACCUGAGGUGGAUUUCAUCAUUGUAAACACACCUUAAAGGAAUAGUUCACCCAAAAAAGAAAAUUCCGUCAUUAAUUACUCACCCUCAUGUCGUUCCAAACCCUUAAGGUUUUCUUUCAUUUUCGGAACACAAAUUAAGAUAUAUUGGAUAAAAUCCAGAAGCUUUCUGACCCUCCAUAGACAGCAACACAACUGACACAUUCAAGGCCCAGAAAGGUAGCAAGGGCAUUGUUAAAAUAGUCCAUGUGACAUCAGUGGUUCCACCUUAAUGUUAUGAAGCUACAAGAAUACUUUUUGUGUGCAAAGAAAAAAGUAAUCACUUUAUUAAAAAAAAAAUUAUCUUCCGUUUCAGUCUUCAACGUGCAUUCAUGAGAAUACCACAAGGCAUGCAUGUGCUGCUGCUGACACAAGAGCUGGCAUUCUGACAUAGAAUUGUAUGAAUGACUUCCAUUGUAUGGUCAAAAAAUAUAAUGGAAGUCAAUGGAAAUAGCAAUGGCUGUUCGAUUACCAACAGUCUUCAGAAUAUUUUCUUUUGUGUUGAGCAGAAGAAAGUAACUCAUACAGAUUUGUGACGACAUGAGGGAGAGUAAAUGACUAUUUCCAUUUUAGGGUAGACUAUGCCUUUAAGAAGCAUAAACAUAGUUUCAAGUGGAAGAACACAUUGAGAUGGCUGGGAUAUGUUAACAGUUGUUAUGCAUUGUCUUGUGUCAUUUCACUGCUGUUGUCUGUAAUUGUGGAGUUCACAUUAGGACUUUGGCAAAGUCCAAAAUAUAGCCAAGAACUGACUGUUAAAUGACCUGUCUGUGCUUCCAUGUUGCAUUUCACCUUCUCGUUAUUCAGGCGUCUUCACAUUAUUUCAAGAAUCGCAUAUGUUUCUGUGUUCACAUAAUGUCAGAAUUACCGCAUUUAAAAGAUUCUGUUCCGAUAAGUUUGUAUCUUUGGGCUCAGAAAUUAUAAAUUUUUCUGACAAUCCUCAAAUCUUGAGGGUCAAAGAAAGUGCAUUGUGUACCUAAGCUAUAAAAAAAUGACAUGAAACUAGUUUAAAGUAGGC
This 3270-nucleotide long non-coding RNA is filed under the name Sinocyclocheilus grahami. RNAcentral's name for it is "lncRNA (ENSSGRG00000014544.1)". The record is from RNAcentral. Lineage: Eukaryota; Metazoa; Chordata; Actinopteri; Cypriniformes; Cyprinidae.